GAGGGUAUAGCUCCGUGGUAGAGCACAUGCUUAGCAUACUUGAGGUUCUAGGUUCAAUCCCCAGUACCUCCU
RNAcentral lists this transfer RNA (72 nucleotides) under Camelus bactrianus (Bactrian camel). It matches the Rfam family "tRNA". From Rfam's summary of the family: Transfer RNA (tRNA) molecules are approximately 80 nucleotides in length. Their secondary structure includes four short double-helical elements and three loops (D, anti-codon, and T loops). Lineage: Eukaryota; Metazoa; Chordata; Mammalia; Artiodactyla; Camelidae. RNAcentral also lists the same sequence under 3 other names. The record is from Rfam by way of RNAcentral.